AUGGCUCCUCAGCAGGAGAGCAACAAGAGCGGCGCCGCGAUCACGCCGAAGGUGGAGGAGGAAGAAGGGGAAGAGGAGGACGACGAGGAGCAUCAUCAUCAUGGCGAGUGGCCGCUGCUCUCGGCGUGUGAGCAGGAGCAGGAUGCCAGCAAGCCAUUGCCAUUGCCGGCGAAGAGGAGGAGGGGCAGCCUGAGCAGAUCAUCAAGAUCAGGCGAGCAGGGGCAGGGGCAGGAGGAGGCGGCUGGGCCCCGCGGCGGCGCACGGUCGCUGUCCUUCUCCAGGCUCUUCAGCAGCUUCAGGAUGAUGGCCACCUCCUCCACCUCCACCUUGGACAUUGACGAGCUAGCGGCCGCUGAAGACGGCUGUGCAGCUCUCAACCCUCAGCAGCAGCAGCAGCAGCAGCAGCGGAAGCCGGUGUGCCGGACAAAGUCGAUGCCGAUGACGAGCAUCUCCAGGAGGCUGCCCGCCCAUGGCAGCAAGAAGCGGGUGGCGGACUCGAGCUCCCUGCGCCGGUUCUGGGUGUCGUCGGCGACGCCCGCGCCAUUGCCGGAGUCGGCGCCGCCCUCUUCGCCAUCGCCGUCAGAAGAAGGAGAGGAAGAGGAGGUGGGGGAGGAGGAGGCGGUGUGCCCGAUCUGCAUGGUGGCGCUGCUGGAGGAGGAAGAAGGAGCAGGCGACGGCGUGCUGAAGCUGGAGUGCCGGUGCAAGGGCGAGCUGGAGCUGGCGCACCGCCGCUGCGCGCUCAAGUGGUUCGGCAUCAAGGGCAACCCCAACUGCGACGUCUGCGGCCACGACGUCCUCAACCUCCCCGUCACCCUCCGCCGCGUCGCCGUCCCUCCCCCUCCACCUCCUCCUCUCGCCGCCGGCAAUGGCAAUGGCAGCCAUGAAGGAGGAGAAAGAGAAGCAAGAGAAAGGGGAUUCAGAAAGGUGUGGCGGCACGGGAUGGUGAUCCUGGUGACGGUGAGCAUGUUGGCCUACUUCUGCUUCCUGGAGCAGCUGCUGGUGGGCGAGCACGGCAAUCGCGGCGGUGGCGCUGGCCGUCUCCGCGCCCUUCGCCGUCGUGCUCGGCACCUUCUCGGCGCUCACCACCGCCGGGAUGGCCUCCUCCCGGCGGUACGUGUGGGCAUACUCGGCGCUGCAGUUCCUGCUGGUCGUCCUCUUCACCCACCUCUUCUACCGCUACGUCAGGAUCCAGGCCGUCAUCGCCAUCAUCCUCUCCGCCUUCGCUGGCUUCGGCGUCCCCAUCUGCGCCAACGCCGUGCUGCUCCAGGCCGCCCGCUGGAGGGCCGCCACCGCCGGCCGCCCCCCGCCGCCGUCGGACCUCGGUACCCCUCAGCCAUAGACAACAUACAUACAUAUGUAUACUCUGCUCUGCUUUCUAUUUUCUUACUUACUGUAUAUAUACUCUAUAUAUAG
This 1413-nucleotide ribosomal RNA is filed under the name Triticum aestivum (bread wheat). RNAcentral's name for it is "partial small subunit ribosomal RNA". Lineage: Eukaryota; Viridiplantae; Streptophyta; Magnoliopsida; Poales; Poaceae. The record is from RNAcentral.